AACACCGUGAGGUCUUGUGGGGAUGAAGCGGCUAGUUAAGCUAUGGGCUGACGGACCGAAACAUCCUAUAAGGCUUCGCCUGGAGGCGAGAUGGGCAAGGACACGGAAGCCGGGUGAUCUAAUGGGUAGAGUCAAUGAUGCAGCUGUGUAGUGAAGGUUCACACU
Molecule: non-coding RNA, 165 nt
Filed under: Microbulbifer sp. THAF38
Lineage: Bacteria; Pseudomonadati; Pseudomonadota; Gammaproteobacteria; Cellvibrionales; Microbulbiferaceae
Source: RNAcentral